CUCCCAAACCCAUGUGAACAUACCUAACGUUGCCUCGGCAGGUCGCACCUACCUUGUAGCACCCUACCCUGUAGGGCCUACCCGGGAGGUGCGGGUAAGCCUGCCGGCGGCCCACCAAACUCUGUUUGAUAUUGAAUUCUGAACCUAUAACUAAAUAAGUUAAAACUUUCAACAACGGAUCUCUUGGUUCUGGCAUCGAUGAAGAACGCAGCGAAAUGCGAUAAGUAAUGUGAAUUGCAGAAUUCAGUGAAUCAUCGAAUCUUUGAACGCAUAUUGCGCCCAUUAGUAUUCUAGUGGGCAGGACCGUUCGAGCGUCAUUUCAACCCUUAAGCCUUCGUUGCUUAGUGUUGGGAGCCUACGGCAACGUAGCUCCUCAAAGUUAGUGGCGGAGUUGGUUCACACUCUAGACGUAGUAAUUUUUUAUCUCGCCUAUUAGUUGGACUAAUCCCCUGCCGUAAAACCCCCAAUUUAUCAAGGUUGACCUCGAAUCGGUUCAGACAAACUCGCUAAAUUGAAGCAUCUUAGUCAGCGAAGGAAAAGAAACCAACAGGGAUUGCCCUAGUAACGGCGAGUGAAGCGGCAACAGCUCAAAUUUGAAAUCUGGCCCUCGGGUCCGAGUUGUAAUUUGUAGAGGAUGCUUUUGGCGCGGUGCCUUCCGAGUUCCCUGGAACGGGACGCCUUAGAGGGUGAGAGCCCCGUACGGUUGGACACCAAGCCUCUGUAAAGCUCCUUCGACGAGUCGAGUAGCUUGGGAAUGCUGCUCUAAAUGGGAGGUAAAUUUCUUCUAAAGCUAAAUAUUGGCCAGAGACCGAUAGCGCACAAGUAGAGUGAUCGAAAGA
Molecule: ribosomal RNA, 839 nt
Filed under: fungal endophyte
Lineage: Eukaryota; Fungi
Description: eukaryotic LSU rRNA
Rfam family: Eukaryotic large subunit ribosomal RNA (bases 479-839)
Source: RNAcentral